GAUGAACGCUAGCGGCAGGCUUAACACAUGCAAGUCGAGGGGGCAGCACGAGGUAGCAAUACUUUGGUGGCGACCGGCGCACGGGUGCGUAACGCGUAUGCAACCUACCUUUAACAGGGGCAUAACACUGAGAAAUUGGUACUAAUUCCCCAUAACGUUCGAGAAGGCAUCUUCUUGGGUUAAAAACUCCGGUGGUUAAAGAUGGGCAUGCGUUGUAUUAGCUAGUUGUGAGUACGGCCACAAGGCAUCGAUGGAUAGGGGUUCUGAGAGGAA
RNAcentral lists this ribosomal RNA (273 nucleotides) under uncultured bacterium. RNAcentral's name for it is "partial 16S ribosomal RNA". It matches the Rfam family "Bacterial small subunit ribosomal RNA", at positions 28 to 301 of the family's 1533-position model. The record is from RNAcentral.